RNAcentral lists this ribosomal RNA (494 nucleotides) under Mrakia blollopis. RNAcentral describes it as "partial large subunit ribosomal RNA". It matches the Rfam family "Eukaryotic large subunit ribosomal RNA", at positions 42 to 538 of the family's 3401-position model. Lineage: Eukaryota; Fungi; Basidiomycota; Tremellomycetes; Cystofilobasidiales; Mrakiaceae. The record is from RNAcentral.
AUCAAUAAAGCGGAGGAAAAGAAACUAACAAGGAUUCCCCUAGUAACGGCGAGUGAAGCGGGAUGAGCUCAAAUUUAAAAUCUGGCGGCCUCAGGUCGUCCGAGUUGUAGUCUAGAGAAUCGUUUUCCGCGUUGGCCUGUGUACAAGUCCCUUGGAACAGGGCGUCAUAGAGGGUGAGAAUCCCGUCCUUGACACAGAUUACCAAUGCUUUGUGAUGCGAUCUCGAAGAGUCGAGUUGUUUGGGAAUGCAGCUCAAAAUGGGUGGUAAAUUCCAUCUAAAGCUAAAUAUUGGCGAGAGACCGAUAGCGAACAAGUACCGUGAGGGAAAGAUGAAAAGCACUUUGGAAAGAGAGUUAAACAGUACGUGAAAUUGUUAAAAGGGAAACGAUUGAAGUCAGUCAUGCUUUCCGAGACUCAGCCGAUUCUGUCGGUGUACUUCUCGGUUGGCAGGCCAGCAUCAGUUUCGAUCUGUGGAAAAGGUUGGAGGGAACGUG